This 253-nucleotide ribosomal RNA is filed under the name uncultured bacterium. RNAcentral's name for it is "partial 16S ribosomal RNA". It matches the Rfam family "Bacterial small subunit ribosomal RNA", at positions 524 to 776 of the family's 1533-position model. The record is from RNAcentral.
UACGAAGGGGGCGAGCGUUGUUCGGAUUUACUGGGCGUAAAGGGCGCGCAGGCGGCGAUUUUUGUCAGGCGUGAAAGCCCCGGGCUCAACCUGGGAACUGCGUUUGAUACGGGAUUGCUAGAGAUCGGGAGAGGAGAGUGGAAUUCCCAGUGUAGAGGUGAAAUUCGUAGAUAUUGGGAAGAACACCAGUGGCGAAGGCGGCUCUCUGGACCGAUACUGACGCUGAGGCGCGAAAGCGUGGGGAGCAAACAGG